GCAGAUGUAGCCAAGUGGUAAGGUAUUGGACUGUGACUCCAUGGUUCGAGCCGAAACGACUCCA
Molecule: transfer RNA, 64 nt
Filed under: Rubus spectabilis
Lineage: Eukaryota; Viridiplantae; Streptophyta; Magnoliopsida; Rosales; Rosaceae
Also listed under: 2 other names
Description: tRNA-His
Source: RNAcentral